UACAGAGGGUGCAAGCGUUGUUCGGAAUUAUUGGGCGUAAAGCGCGUGUAGGCGGCUUUGCAAGUCGGGUGUGAAAGCCCUCAGCUUAACUGAGGAAGUGCGCCCGAAACUGCAGAGCUUGAAUACCGGAGAGGAUGGCGGAAUUCCCCAAGUAGAGGUGAAAUUCGUAGAUAUGGGGAGGAACACCGGUGGCGAAGGCGGCCAUCUGGACCGCAACUGACGCUGAGGCGCGAAAGCGUGGGGAGCAAACAGGG
This 254-nucleotide ribosomal RNA is filed under the name uncultured bacterium. Its description in RNAcentral is "partial 16S ribosomal RNA". It matches the Rfam family "Bacterial small subunit ribosomal RNA", at positions 524 to 777 of the family's 1533-position model. The record is from RNAcentral.